RNAcentral lists this ribosomal RNA (211 nucleotides) under uncultured bacterium. RNAcentral describes it as "partial 16S ribosomal RNA". It matches the Rfam family "Bacterial small subunit ribosomal RNA", at positions 1290 to 1500 of the family's 1533-position model. The record is from RNAcentral.
AGUUCGGAUUGUAGGCUGCAACUCGCCUACAUGAAGUUGGAAUCGCUAGUAAUCGCGAAUCAGAAUGUCGCGGUGAAUACGUUCCCGGGUCUUGUACACACCGCCCGUCACACCACGAGAGUUUACAACACCCGAAGUCAGUGGCCUAACCGCAAGGAGGGAGCUGCCUAAGGUGGGGUAGAUGAUUGGGGUGAAGUCGUAACAAGGUAAC